CCCAACAACGAUGUAUGCUGAAGAGAUCACAUCCCCUCCUGUAACUGUAUAUAAGGAGAGCCCAGUACUCAGAGCAACACUACAACAACCUCCUCGACCAUCUGUGAGAUCAACUUGAAGGUGUGAUCACUGCAAACAUGCUGAAGGUAGUACUUGUGCUUGGAUGCCUCCUGAGCCUCGCUCUGGCUCAGCCUAUGGAGCGUAGACGAUUUGCUCGGUCUAACUCUGAAUCCAACUCUGGCUCCAAUGAGGGUACAACCACAACAACAGCUGCAACAACAACAGCAGCUCCUGGUGCUGCGACAACAGCAGCAUCUAUAAAUUUGCAGUUGCUCCAGUUGCUCCAACUCCUUUUCGGGCAACAAUAAACUCCAACUGCCACUCCAACAACCAAUCAGUGAAUGACAACCAGGAAUGGAUGAAAUCCAUCUUUUUCUUUCUCUUUUCAAAUUUCGGUGAUGUUUUGUUCACCAGA
Molecule: long non-coding RNA, 475 nt
Organism: Larimichthys crocea (large yellow croaker)
Lineage: Eukaryota; Metazoa; Chordata; Actinopteri; Sciaenidae
Exons: 4
Source: RefSeq, a predicted model, not a curated record